AUUGAACGCUGGCGGCAUGCCUUACACAUGCAAGUCGAACGGCAGCACGGGAGCAAUCCUGGUGGCGAGUGGCGAACGGGUGAGUAAAGUAUCGGAACGUGCCCAGUCGUGGGGGAUAACGUAGCGAAAGUUACGCUAAUACCGCAUACGAUCUAUGGAUGAAAGCGGGGGAUCGCAAGACCUCGCGCGAUUGGAGCGGCCGAUAUCAGAUUAGGUAGUUGGUGGGGUAAAGGCUCACCAAGCCGACGAUCUGUAGCUGCUCUGAGAGGACGACCAGCCACACUGGGACUGAGACACGGACCAGACUCCUACGGGAGGCAGCAGUGGGGAAUUUUGGACAAUGGGCGCAAGCCUGAUCCAGCCAUGCCGCGUGCAGGAUGAAGGCCUUCGGGUUGUAAACUGCUUUUGUACGGAACGAAAAGGUUUGACUUAAUACGUUGGACUCAUGACGGUACCGUAAGAAUAAGCACCGGCUAACUACGUGCCAGCAGCCGCGGUAA
Molecule: ribosomal RNA, 500 nt
Filed under: uncultured bacterium
Lineage: Bacteria
Description: partial 16S ribosomal RNA
Rfam family: Bacterial small subunit ribosomal RNA
Source: RNAcentral